GUGCUCGCUUCAGCAGCACAUAUACUAAAACUGGAAAAAUACAGAGAAGAUUAGCAAGGCCCCUGCAUGAGAAUGACACACAAAUUCAUGAAGCAGCCCAUAUUUUA
Molecule: small nuclear RNA, 107 nt
Organism: Nannospalax galili (Upper Galilee mountains blind mole rat)
Lineage: Eukaryota; Metazoa; Chordata; Mammalia; Rodentia; Spalacidae
Source: Ensembl